UACGUAGGGGGCAAGCGUUGUCCGGAUUUAUUGGGCGUAAAGAGCGUGUAGGCGGCUUGGUAGGUCUCGCGUCAAAACCUGAGGCUCAACCUCAGUUCGCGUGGGAAACCACCUAGCUAGAGUCCGGAAGAGGAGAACGGAAUUCCCAGUGUAGCGGUGAAAUGCGUAGAUAUGCGGAGGAACACCGAUGGCGAAGGCAAUCCCCUGGGCCUGCACUGACGCUCAUGCACGAAAGCGUGGGGAGCAAACAGG
This 252-nucleotide ribosomal RNA is filed under the name uncultured bacterium. RNAcentral describes it as "partial 16S ribosomal RNA". It matches the Rfam family "Bacterial small subunit ribosomal RNA", at positions 524 to 776 of the family's 1533-position model. The record is from RNAcentral.